This 497-nucleotide ribosomal RNA is filed under the name uncultured bacterium. Its description in RNAcentral is "partial 16S ribosomal RNA". It matches the Rfam family "Bacterial small subunit ribosomal RNA", at positions 28 to 507 of the family's 1533-position model. The record is from RNAcentral.
GAUGAACGCUGGCGGCGUGCCUAAUACAUGCAAUUCGAGCGAACGGACGAGAAGCUUGCUUCUCUGAUGUUAGCGGCGGACGGGUGAGUAACACGUGGAUAACCUACCUAUAAGACUGGGAUAACUUCGGGAAACCGUAGCUAAUACCGGAUAAUAUUUUGAACCGCAUGGUUCAAAAGUGAAAGACGGUCUUGCUGUCACUUAUAGAUGGAUCCGCGCUGCAUUAGCUAGUUGGUAAGGUAACGGCUUACCAAGGCAACGAUGCAUAGCCGACCUGAGAGGGUGAUCGGCCACACGGGAACUGAGACACGGUCCAGACUCCUACGGGAGGCAGCAGUAGGGAAUCUUCCGCAAUGGGCGAAAGCCUGACGGAGCAACGCCGCGUGAGUGAUGAAGGUCUUCGGAUCGUAAAACUCUGUUAUUAGGGAAGAACAUAUGUGUAAGUAACUGUGCACAUCUUGACGGUACCUAAUCAGAAAGCCACGGCUAACUACGUG